GGAAUAUUGGACAAUGGGCGAGAGCCUGAUCCAGCCAUGCCGCGUGCAGGAAGACGGUCCUAUGGAUUGUAAACUGCUUUUAUACGGGAAGAAACACCCCCUCGUGAGGGGGCUUGACGGUACCGUAAGAAUCAGGCUCGGCGAACACUGUGCCAGCAGCCGCGGUAAUACGGAGGAUCCAAGGGUUAUCCGUAAUAAUUGGGUUUAAAGGGUCCGUAGGUGGAUAAUUAAGUCAGAGGUGAAAUCCUGCAGCUCAACUGUAGAAUUGCCUUUGAUACUGGUUAUCUUGAAUUAUUAUGAAGUAGUUAGAAUAUGUAGUGUAGCGGUGAAAUGCAUAGAUAUUACAUAGAAUACCAAUUGCGAAGGCAGAUUACUAAUAAUGGAUUGACACUGAUGGACGAAAGCGUGGGGAGCGAAC
This 418-nucleotide ribosomal RNA is filed under the name uncultured bacterium. Its description in RNAcentral is "bacterial SSU rRNA". It matches the Rfam family "Bacterial small subunit ribosomal RNA", at positions 358 to 773 of the family's 1533-position model. The record is from RNAcentral.